GUGUAUGGCCAUACCACCCCGAAUGCAUCUGAUCUCAGAAGCUAAGCAGGGUUGGGCCUAGUUAGGACUUGGGUGGGAGAUGAAAGUGUGUGCUACUGUUUGAUCCUUAGGGGUCUUGCUUU
Molecule: ribosomal RNA, 122 nt
Filed under: Prolemur simus (greater bamboo lemur)
Lineage: Eukaryota; Metazoa; Chordata; Mammalia; Primates; Lemuridae
Source: RNAcentral